Molecule: ribosomal RNA, 306 nt
Filed under: uncultured bacterium
Lineage: Bacteria
Description: partial 16S ribosomal RNA
Rfam family: Bacterial small subunit ribosomal RNA
Source: RNAcentral
GACAGCAGUAGCCGCGGGAAUACGUAGGGUGCAAGCGUUAAUCGGAAUUACUGGGCGUAAAGCGUGCGCAGGCGGUUAUAUAAGACAGAUGUGAAAUCCCCGGGCUCAACCUGGGAACUGCAUUUGUGACUGUAUAGCUAGAGUACGGCAGAGGGGGAUGGAAUUCCGCGUGUAGCAGUGAAAUGCGUAGAUAUGCGGAGGAACACCGAUGGCGAAGGCAAUCCCCUGGGCCUGUACUGACGCUCAUGCACGAAAGCGUGGGGAGCAAACAGGAUUAGAUACCCCCGUAGUCCCUGUCUCUUAUAC